GAUGAACGCUGGCGGCGUGCCUAAUACAUGCAAGUCGAGCGAACGGACGAGAAGCUUGCUUCUCUGAUGUUAGCGGCGGACGGGUGAGUAACACGUGGAUAACCUACCUAUAAGACUGGGAUAACUUCGGGGAACCGGAGCUAAUACCGGAUAAUAUUUUGAACCGCAUGGUUCAAAAGUGAAAGACGGUCUUGCUGUCACUUAUAGAUGGAUCCGCGCUGCAUUAGCUAGUUGGUAAGGUAACGGCUUACCAAGGCAACGAUGCAUAGCCGACCUGAGAGGGUGAUCGGCCACACUGGAACUGAGACACGGUCCAGACUCCUACGGGAGGCAGCAGUAGGGAAUCUUCCGCAAUGGGCUAAAGCCUGACGGAGCAACGCCGCGUGAGUGAUGAAGGUCUUCGGAUCGUAAAACUCUGUUAUUAGGGAAGAACAUAUGUGUAAGUAACUGUGCACAUCUUGACGGUACCUAAUCAGAAAGCCACGGCUAACUACGUG
Molecule: ribosomal RNA, 497 nt
Filed under: uncultured bacterium
Lineage: Bacteria
Description: partial 16S ribosomal RNA
Rfam family: Bacterial small subunit ribosomal RNA
Source: RNAcentral